Molecule: ribosomal RNA, 471 nt
Filed under: uncultured bacterium
Lineage: Bacteria
Description: bacterial SSU rRNA
Rfam family: Bacterial small subunit ribosomal RNA
Source: RNAcentral
UGGGGAAUCUUGCGCAAUGGGCGAAAGCCUGACGCAGCGACGCCGCGUGAGUGAUGAAGGCCUUCGGGUUGUAAAGCUCUGUGGGGAGAGAAGAAUAAGUGCGGGCUAAUACUCCGCAUGAUGACGGUAUCUCCUUAGCAAGCACCGGCUAACUCUGUGCCAGCAGCCGCGGUAAGACAGAGGGUGCAAACGUUGUUCGGAAUUACUGGGCGUAAAGCGAGUGUAGGCGGUUUGGUAAGUCGGAUGUGAAAGCCCCGGGCUCAACCCGGGAAGUGCACUCGAUACUGCCAAGCUAGAGUAUCGGAGAGGUUGGUGGAAUUCUCGGUGUAGAGGUGAAAUUCGUAGAUAUCGAGAGGAACACCGGCGGCGAAGGCGGCCAACUGGACGAAUACUGACGCUGAGACUCGAAAGCGUGGGGAGCAAACAGGAUUAGAUACCCCCGUAGUCCCUGAGCGGGCUGGCAAGGCGCAU